UAAAAGUAUAUUUUUAUUAUCUCGUAAUUUUCAGAAAGCAGUACACCGUCUUCCCAACUCUUAGACAAACUGUAGCAGGCGCUACGAACCGGAGCAAGGACUAACCUCGCCUCAUAACGAGGCUGUGACCUAUAUUUGCUCGGAGCUGUCUGCAAGUCCAGAUUUACAUGACGCUGAUAAUGACGCCACUGUGUCUGCCUGUAAGACAUAUUACCAGACAGCACGCAGGAGCU
This is a long non-coding RNA of Perca flavescens (yellow perch), 233 nucleotides long. RefSeq lists it as uncharacterized. The transcript is spliced from 3 exons. NCBI's taxonomy places the organism in Eukaryota, Metazoa, Chordata, Actinopteri, Perciformes, Percidae. The record is from RefSeq and is a predicted model, not a curated record.